GACGAACGCUGGCGGCGUGCUUAACACAUGCAAGUCGAGCGGUAAGGCCCUUUUGGGGGUACACGAGCGGCGAACGGGUGAGUAACACGUGGGUGACCUGCCCUCAGCUCUGGGAUAAGCCUGGGAAACUGGGUCUAAUACUGGAUAUGACCUUUCCUCGCAUGGGGUUGGGUGGAAAGUUUUUCGGCUGGGGAUGGGCCCGUCGGCCUAUCAGCUUGUUGGUGGGGUGAUGGUCCUACCAAGGCGACGACGGGUAGCCGGCCUGAGAGGGCGACCGGCCACACUGGGACUGAGACACGGCCCAGACUCCUACGGGAGGCAGCAGUGGGGAAUAUUGGCGCAAUGGGCGGAAGCCUGACGCAGCGACGCCGCGU
RNAcentral lists this ribosomal RNA (374 nucleotides) under uncultured bacterium. RNAcentral describes it as "bacterial SSU rRNA". It matches the Rfam family "Bacterial small subunit ribosomal RNA", at positions 28 to 402 of the family's 1533-position model. The record is from RNAcentral.